GUGCCAGCCGCCGCGGUAAUACGUAGGGGGCGAGCGUUGUCCGGAUUUAUUGGGCGUAAAGAGCGUGUAGGCGGCUUGGUAGGUCUGCUGUGAAAACUCGGGGCUCAACCCCGAGACGUCGGUGGAAACCACCUGGCUAGAGUCCGGAAGAGGAGAGUGGAAUUCCUGGUGUAGCGGUGAAAUGCGCAGAUAUCAGGAAGAAUAUCCGUGGCGAAGGCGGCUCUCUGGUACGGCACUGACGCUGAGACGCGAAAGCGUGGGGAGCGAACAGGAUUAGAUACCCCCGUAGUCC
This 292-nucleotide ribosomal RNA is filed under the name uncultured bacterium. Its description in RNAcentral is "partial 16S ribosomal RNA". It matches the Rfam family "Bacterial small subunit ribosomal RNA", at positions 505 to 796 of the family's 1533-position model. The record is from RNAcentral.